GAUGAACGCUAGCUACAGGCUUAACACAUGCAAGUCGAGGGGCAGCAUGAUCGAAGCUUGCUUUGAUUGAUGGCGACCGGCGCACGGGUGAGUAACGCGUAUCCAACCUUCCCUAUAGUAGAGAAUAGCCCGGCGAAAGUCGGAUUAAUGCCCUAUGUUCUCCUUUGCGGGCAUCUAACGAGGAGCAAAGAUUCAUCGGUAAGGGAUGGGGAUGCGUCUGAUUAGCCAGUUGGCGGGGUAACGGCCCACCAAGGCGACGAUCAGUAGGGGUUCUGAGAGGAAGGUCCCCCACAUUGGUACUGAGACACGGACCAAACUCC
This 320-nucleotide ribosomal RNA is filed under the name uncultured Prevotella sp. RNAcentral's name for it is "bacterial SSU rRNA". It matches the Rfam family "Bacterial small subunit ribosomal RNA", at positions 28 to 339 of the family's 1533-position model. The record is from RNAcentral. Lineage: Bacteria; Pseudomonadati; Bacteroidota; Bacteroidia; Bacteroidales; Prevotellaceae.